GCUUAACACAUGCAAGUCGAGGGGCAUCAGGAAGAAAGCUUGCUUUCUUUGCUGGCGACCGGCGCACGGGUGAGUAACACGUAUCCAACCUGCCCUUUACUCGGGGAUAGCCUUUCGAAAGAAAGAUUAAUACCCGAUAGCAUAAUGAUUCCGCAUGGUUUCAUUAUUAAAGGAUUCCGGUAAAGGAUGGGGAUGCGUUCCAUUAGGUUGUUGGUGAGGUAACGGCCCACCAAGCCUUCGAUGGAUAGGGGUUCUGAGAGGAAGGUCCCCCACAUUGGAACUGAGACACGGUCCAAACUCCUACGGGAGGCAGCAGUGAGGAAUAUUGGUCAAUGGGCGCUAGCCUGAACCAGCCAAGUAGCGUGAAGGAUGAAGGCUCUAUGGGUCGUAAACUUCUUUUAUAUAAGAAUAAAGUGCAGUAUGUAUACUGUUUUGUAUGUAUUAUAUGAAUAAGGAUCGGCUAACUCCGUGCCAGCAGCCGCGGUAAUACGGAGGAUCCGAGCGUUAUCCGGAUUUAUUGGGUUUAAAGGGAGCGUAGGUGGACUGGUAAGUCAGUUGUGAAAGUUUGCGGCUCAACCGUAAAAUUGCAGUUGAUACUGUCAGUCUUGAGUACAGUAGAGGUGGGCGGAAUUCGUGGUGUAGCGGUGAAAUGCUUAGAUAUCACGAAGAACUCCGAUUGCGAAGGCAGCUCACUGGACUGCAACUGACACUGAUGCUCGAAAGUGUGGGUAUCAAACAGGAUUAGAUACCCUGGUAGUCCACACAGUAAACGAUGAAUACUCGCUGUUUGCGAUAUACAGUAAGCGGCCAAGCGAAAGCAUUAAGUAUUCCACCUGGGGAGUACGCCGGCAACGGUGAAACUCAAAGGAAUUGACGGGGGCCCGCACAAGCGGAGGAACAUGUGGUUUAAUUCGAUGAUACGCGAGGAACCUUACCCGGGCUUAAAUUGCAGUGGAAUGAUGUGGAAACAUGUCAGUGAGCAAUCACCGCUGUGAAGGUGCUGCAUGGUUGUCGUCAGCUCGUGCCGUGAGGUGUCGGCUUAAGUGCCAUAACGAGCGCAACCCUUAUCUUUAGUUACUAACAGGUUAUGCUGAGGACUCUAGAGAGACUGCCGUCGUAAGAUGUGAGGAAGGUGGGGAUGACGUCAAAUCAGCACGGCCCUUACGUCCGGGGCUACACACGUGUUACAAUGGGGGGUACAGAAGGCAGCUAGCGGGUGACCGUAUGCUAAUCCCAAAAUCCUCUCUCAGUUCGGAUCGAAGUCUGCAACCCGACUUCGUGAAGCUGGAUUCGCUAGUAAUCGCGCAUCAGCCACGGCGCGGUGAAUACGUUCCCGGGCCUUGUACACACCGCCCGUCAAGCCAUGGGAGCCGGGGGUACCUGAAGUACGUAACCGCAAGGAUCGUCCUAGGGUAAAACUGGUGACUGGGGCUA
This 1434-nucleotide ribosomal RNA is filed under the name uncultured organism. RNAcentral describes it as "16S ribosomal RNA". It matches the Rfam family "Bacterial small subunit ribosomal RNA". The record is from RNAcentral.